This 119-nucleotide ribosomal RNA is filed under the name Sorex araneus (European shrew). Lineage: Eukaryota; Metazoa; Chordata; Mammalia; Eulipotyphla; Soricidae. The record is from RNAcentral.
AGUCCUAGCCAUACUACCCAGAAAACGUAUAAACUCCACUGACCUUAGAAGCCAAGCAGGGUCACGCCUGGAUAGUAUUUGGAUGGAAAAACUCCUGGAAUUCCUUUGUACUAUAUUUC